This 497-nucleotide ribosomal RNA is filed under the name uncultured bacterium. RNAcentral's name for it is "partial 16S ribosomal RNA". It matches the Rfam family "Bacterial small subunit ribosomal RNA", at positions 28 to 507 of the family's 1533-position model. The record is from RNAcentral.
GAUGAACGCUGGCGGCGUGCCUAAUACAUGCAAGUCGAGCGAACGGACGAGAAGCUUGCUUCUCUGAUGUUAGCGGCGGACGGGUGAGUAACACGUGGAUAACCUACCUAUAGGACUGGGAUAACUUCGGGAAACCGGAGCUAAUACCGGAUAAUAUUUUGAACCGCAUGGUUCAAAAGUGAAAGACGGUCUUGCUGUCACUUAUAGAUGGAUCCGCGCUGCAUUAGCUAGUUGGUAAGGUAACGGCUUACCAAGGCAACGAUGCAUAGCCGACCUGAGAGGGUGAUCGGCCACACUGGAACUGAGACACGGUCCAGACUCCUACGGGAGGCAGCAGUAGGGAAUCUUCCGCAAUGGGCGAAAGCCUGACGGAGCAACGCCGCGUGAGUGAUGAAGGUCUUCGGAUCGUAAAACUCUGUUAUUAGGGAAGAACAUAUGUGUAAGUAACUGUGCACAUCUUGGCGGUACCUAAUCAGAAAGCCACGGCUAACUACGUG